UUCCACUCAUUGGUACAAACUCCAAACAUUCUUCCAAAUUCGACCUCAAAUCAGGUAGGACUACCCGCUGAACUUAAGCAUAUCAAUAAGCGGAGGAAAAGAAACCAACAGGGAUUGCCUUAGUAGCGGCGAGUGAAGCGGCAAAAGCUCAAAUUUGAAAUCUGGCACUUUCAGUGUCCGAGUUGUAAUUUGAAGAAGGUAUCUUUGGGUCUGGCUCUUGUCUAUGUUUCUUGGAACAGAACGUCACAGAGGGUGAGAAUCCCGUGCGAUGAGAUGACCCAGACCUAUGUAAAGUUCCUUCGAAGAGUCGAGUUGUUUGGGAAUGCAGCUCUAAGUGGGUGGUAAAUUCCAUCUAAAGCUAAAUAUUGGCGAGAGACCGAUAGCGAACAAGUACAGUGAUGGAAAGAUGAAAAGAACUUUGAAAAGAGAGUGAAAAAGUACGUGAAAUUGUUGAAAGGGAAGGGCUUGAGAUCAGACUUGGUAUUUUGUAUGUUACUCUUUCGGGGGUGGCCUCUACAGUUUACCGGGCCAGCAUCAGUUUGGGCGGUAGGAGAAUUGCAAAGAAAUGUGGCACUGCUUCGGUAGUGUGUUAUAGUCUUUGUCGAUACUGCCAGCCUAGACUGAGGACUGCGGCUUCGGCCUAGGAUGUUGGCAUAAUGAUCUUAAGUCGC
RNAcentral lists this ribosomal RNA (671 nucleotides) under Lodderomyces metapsilosis. RNAcentral's name for it is "eukaryotic LSU rRNA". It matches the Rfam family "Eukaryotic large subunit ribosomal RNA", at positions 1 to 648 of the family's 3401-position model. The record is from RNAcentral. Lineage: Eukaryota; Fungi; Ascomycota; Pichiomycetes; Serinales; Debaryomycetaceae.